CCUACGGGUGGCAGCAGUGGGGAAUAUUGGACAAUGGGGGCAACCCUGAUCCAGCCAUGCCGCGUGUGUGAAGAAGGCCCUCGGGUUGUAAAGCACUUUCAGUGAGGAAGAACGCCUGGUGGUUAAUACCCAUCAGGAAAGACAUCACUCACAGAAGAAGCACCGGCUAACUCCGUGCCAGCAGCCGCGGUAAUACGGAGGGUGCGAGCGUUAAUCGGAAUUACAGGGCGUAAAGCGCGCGUAGGUGGCUUGAUAAGCCGGUUGUGAAAGCCCCGGGCUCAACCUGGGAACGGCAUCCGGAACUGGCAAGCUAGAGUGCAGGAGAGGAAGGUAGAAUUCCCGGUGUAGCGGUGAAAUGCGUAGAGAUCGGGAGGAAUACCAGUGGCGAAGGCGGCCUUCUGGACUGACACUGACACUGAGGUGCGAAAGCGUGGGUAGCAAACAGGAUUAGAUACCCUUGUAGUC
Molecule: ribosomal RNA, 465 nt
Filed under: Vreelandella stevensii
Lineage: Bacteria; Pseudomonadati; Pseudomonadota; Gammaproteobacteria; Oceanospirillales; Halomonadaceae
Description: partial 16S ribosomal RNA
Rfam family: Bacterial small subunit ribosomal RNA
Source: RNAcentral